CGCGUAGGCGGAUCUUCAAGUCGGAUGUGAAAACUUGCAGCUUAACUGCAAGCCUGCAUUCGAUACUGAAGGUCUUGAGUACAGUAGAGGAAAGCGGAAUUCCAGGUGUAGCGGUGAGAUGCGUAGAUAUCUGGAAGAACACCAGUAGCGAAGGCGGCUUUCUGGGCUGACACUGACGCUGAAGCGCGAAGGCUUGGGGUAGCAAACA
This 208-nucleotide ribosomal RNA is filed under the name uncultured bacterium. RNAcentral describes it as "partial 16S ribosomal RNA". It matches the Rfam family "Bacterial small subunit ribosomal RNA", at positions 568 to 774 of the family's 1533-position model. The record is from RNAcentral.